GUAGGUGGCAAGCGUUGUCCGGAAUUAUUGGGCGUAAAGCGCGCGCAGGCGGUUCUUUAAGUCUGAUGUGAAAGCCCACGGCUCAACCGUGGAGGGUCAUUGGAAACUGGAGAACUUGAGUACAGAAGAGGAAAGCGGAAUUCCACGUGUAGCGGUGAAAUGCGUAGAGAUGUGGAGGAACACCAGUGGCGAAGGCGGCUUUCUGGUCUGUAACUGACGCUGAGGCGCGAAAGCGUGGGGAGCAAACAGGGAUUAGAUACCCUGGUAGUCCACGCCGUAAACGAUGAGUGCUAAGUGUUAGGGGGUUUCCGCCCCCUUAAUGCUGCAGCUAACGCAUUAAGCACUCCGCCUGGGGAGUACGGCCGCAAGGCUG
RNAcentral lists this ribosomal RNA (373 nucleotides) under uncultured organism. RNAcentral describes it as "partial 16S ribosomal RNA". It matches the Rfam family "Bacterial small subunit ribosomal RNA", at positions 527 to 896 of the family's 1533-position model. The record is from RNAcentral.